Molecule: transfer RNA, 87 nt
Filed under: Synechococcus sp. CC9902
Lineage: Bacteria; Bacillati; Cyanobacteriota; Cyanophyceae; Synechococcales; Synechococcaceae
Description: tRNA-Ser
Source: RNAcentral
AAGCCAUUGGCAAUGCCACGAGCAGGCAAAAUGGUGCGUACGACGACAAUCCGACCACCUGCGGGAAUUGUCACAGAAUCUGGGACU